AACGAACGCUGGCGGCGUGGAUUAGGCAUGCAAGUCGCACGUGAAAGAGGAGCUUGCUCCUUGAGUAAAGUGGCGAACGGGUGAGUAACGCGUGAGAAACCUGCCUUGAAGAGGGGAAUAACACUCCCAACGGGGUGCUAAUACCGCAUGUAUUCGGUGAGUCGCAUGGCUCGCCGAGAAAAGGUGGCCUCUGUUUACAAGCUACCGCUUCAAGAGGGUCUCGCGUCCGGUUAGCUAGUUGGCGGGGUAAAGGCCCACCAAGGCGACGAUCGGUAGCUGGUCUGAGAGGAUGAACGGCCACAUUGGGACUGAGAUACGGCCCAG
This 324-nucleotide ribosomal RNA is filed under the name uncultured bacterium. Its description in RNAcentral is "bacterial SSU rRNA". It matches the Rfam family "Bacterial small subunit ribosomal RNA", at positions 29 to 334 of the family's 1533-position model. The record is from RNAcentral.